This 201-nucleotide long non-coding RNA is filed under the name Phoenix dactylifera (date palm). RNAcentral describes it as "long non-coding RNA (PDAC_LNC007649)". Lineage: Eukaryota; Viridiplantae; Streptophyta; Magnoliopsida; Arecales; Arecaceae. The record is from RNAcentral.
UGAGAAGGGAUGAGGCUUUGGGAUCUGUGCAACUAAGAUGGUAUGCUUUGAGAUCUGAGAGACAAAUAAUUGAAGGGAUUUUAUUGUUUUUGAAAUUAAAAUAGGAGAAUUGGAUUAUGUGGAAAAAGAGUUGGAACGAGUGGGAAGAAAUUUAGGUGAACUUGUGAAGAGUCAGGAAUUAAUGGGAAGCACUGGGUUUUG